CCUACGGGAGGCAGCAGUGAGGAAUAUUGGUCAAUGGGCGCGAGCCUGAACCAGCCAAGUCGCGUGAGGGAAGACGGUCCUAUGGAUUGUAAACCUCUUUUGUCGGGGAGCAAAAGACGCCACGCGUGGCGUUCCGAGAGUACCCGAAGAAAAAGCAUCGGCUAACUCCGUGCCAGCAGCCGCGGUAAUACGUAGGUGGCAAGCGUUAUCCGGAUUGAUUGGGUGUAAAGGGCGUGUAGGCGGGAAAGCAAGUCAGGUGUGAAAACUCAGGGCUCAAGGCUGGGGCUGCAUUGGAAACUGGUUGUCUUGAGUGCUGGAGGGGCGAUCGGAAUUCCGGGUGUAGCGGUGAAAUGCGUAGAUAUACGGAGGAACACCAGUGGCGAAGGCGGAUUGCUGGACAGUAACUGACGCUGAGGCGCGAAAGCGUGGGGAGCAAACAGGAUUAGAUACCCAUGUAGUC
This 460-nucleotide ribosomal RNA is filed under the name uncultured bacterium. RNAcentral describes it as "partial 16S ribosomal RNA". It matches the Rfam family "Bacterial small subunit ribosomal RNA", at positions 338 to 795 of the family's 1533-position model. The record is from RNAcentral.